Molecule: RNA transcript, 5968 nt
Organism: Brassica napus (rape)
Lineage: Eukaryota; Viridiplantae; Streptophyta; Magnoliopsida; Brassicales; Brassicaceae
Gene name: protein GL2-INTERACTING REPRESSOR 1-like
Exons: 4
Source: RefSeq, a predicted model, not a curated record
GAGCAGCAUUAUUGGGGUUUCUAAAAGGGGUUUUUCAAAAAAACAAUGGGUGGGCCCCACUAAACCACAAAAACUAGUCCCUAAAGUCAUGAAAUAAAGACUGAUUGUGGUGGCUUUUUUGCACUGUCCGCAGACUCCAUCGACACUGGCAGCCCGCGAUAGAUGCACUUUUUCAUUUUUUUUUAAUCAGACAAAAAAUAAAUAAUUUUUUUUAAAGAAACCUUUAAGUGGAUUUCAGAGAUAAUGCUGCUAUUAUUUACCUUCCGAAUAUGGUCUAGUUCCUUCUCCCUCUUUUCGAUUUUGGUCUUGAGGUAUGACACUAGAUCCUCAAGUUUUUUUUCCAUGGCCGUCGCUUUUAGUUCUUUCUUUUAUUUGUGAUGUUGAAAUAUAGACAUGCAAUUGUAAUCUUAUAUAGGAUGGGAUAAGGACACAAACUGAAGUUUCUGAGUUCUAGUGUUUGAACUACUGUCAAGUGUUUGUUAACUACUAGCAUAUGUACCUACCUUCAAAGUCCAAAUCACCGAGAAUGACGGUUGCUAACAAAGAUUGGCCAACCAACAAUUAAAGCUCACUUACCACACUUAAUUUGGUUAAAUCCUUUGCAGAUUAAAAUCUCGAAUGUUACGUGCGUGUUUACGACCUUGUGGUUAAAUCCUUAACGGCUUUACAUGAAAACAUUUUGGUUGGCAAUUGGGAUUUUAGGGGCCGGUUAUAAGACCUCGAGAGGAAAAGUUGGGGUUUGUUUAUAGAUAUAGGGUUAAUUUGGAGGAUUACUUAAAUAAAAUAAAUUUUACUUUUAGGGAUUAUAUUUAUAUCGCAAAGCCUUUGUUUAUUUUGCAUAGUAGUUUGUCGUCUAACAUGGAGACGGAAGGAUCUGAGUUGAUAGGAUGGGAUAACCACAAGGGAACAUGGUGAAGAAAGCUGAAGUUGCUGAGUUUUAGUGGUUGAACUACUACUGUUAAGAACUCGUUUCUUAACUUUUAACUAAAAAAAAGCUAAGAACCGGUUCUUAAAUAAGAUAUAUUUAAAAGUCUAUUCUUAACUUUUUUUAAUUAAAAGUUAAGAGACGGUUCUUAUAUUCUGCUAAUAACUUCACUUUAAGAAUCCCCGUUGAACAUGCUCUAAGUGUUUUGUUAACUACUAGCAAAUGUAUGAUAUAGGAAUAUGGUGAAGAAAAUACAAAGCCACGUGUAAGGAUGUGAGUGGAGGAAGUUGGUAUUAUGGUGCACAAGCAAACAGAGGAGCACAUGUUAUAUAGAAAGAAGAACGGCCACGAUUAGAAAUUAAUCAGAAAAAUUGUCAGUUUGUUUCUUCUUCAUCUCUUUUUCUCUGUGCGUUUUCGGGAAAGUUCCCAUGGCUCCUCAUCACUGUUCUUGAGUUGUUUCUACUGCUAAACUCAUGGCAUAUGAGAGUUGAAUUGUUGUUUCAUGAACAUCAAUUCAAAGUACGAUUCAUUUCAAUUUCAUCAAUUAGGGUUUCCUCUAUCAAGCUGAAGACAGUGAAGCAGGAAACAAGAAGCCUACGUUUCAAGAAGAACCAACAUUACUCAUCUUUCUCAAGGUACGUAGGAUAUCAUAACAAUUCAGACAAAAUAAAUAAAUAAAUAAAAGAUAAUCAUAUCUAUUUGCACAUGCACCGAAAGGAGAUCAAAAGAAUAUCACACAUUUGUCUAUCUAUCUCUGUUUAUCUAGUUUUUCCACCAGGUUAAAUUUAUGUACAAGACUCAGUUAAGAUAGUCUAAGUCCUGUAAGAACAAACACAUACAUAUCGGUUUUGUACUCAAGACGAUGUUUUCUUUCCUCAUCUUACCGUGAAAGAAACACUAAGCUACACUGCUCGUUUGCGUGUACCUAAGACUCUUACAAGGGCGCAGAAGGAGCAACGAGCUAUUGAAGUUAUCCAAGGGUUGCGUUUGGAGAGGUGCCAAGACACUAUGAUUGGACAUAUACAUAAAAACAUGAUAUGCAUCCGCUUCCGGGUUCUUAUAUCUAACAUCUAAGUAAUCGGGAUACAAAUACCUUCAAGAACACAUAGUGUCUCACUUUUAAAAUCUCUCAGGUAAGUAGUUGCAGUAUCCUUCUUAAACUAGUUUAGGAGCACUUCUCAAGCACUUCACAAGCUUCAAAUGUUAAUCAAGAUUCUUUAAUCAACCUAAUACCAAAGCCUCCUAUCUAAACACUGCACUUGAAAGUUUUGUACUUUGAAGGAGAAAUCAAAGAAGAGUGGUCCUUAUAGAGGUACUACAUCAAGUAUGUAUAGCUAAGAAUGCUAUUGGAAUCUUGGGGGUGUAAUUCUACUCUCUCUAUCUCUCUCCUCUUUGGUUUCUUUUAUCAUGACACUGAAAGCUUUGGAGUAAUGGGUGGAGUCAAUAACAUGGACAUUUAUGUGAAGACCAGAGUCUGCAAAAAUAGGACACACGCAACAAAAAAAAAACUCUUGAAAUUGUAGUUACUGAGUAAUUUGUGCCCAGAACUAAAUACUAACUUUUAGUAUUUUUCAAAUAACAAAUAUCAUUCCAAUAAGAAAAAUUUUCAAGUCAAUUGCAACUCAGUGAAGUUUAGAAUUUUACAAAACCUGAGGAAUUAUAAAGCUUAGAUGGAUAUCAGUUGACUACACCAUUCUAAUGGCGUCGGUAGCUCAUCCUAGAACUCAAAUGUGUUGGUUAUAAAAAUAUAUAGAAUGUAAAUUACUAUAUCAACUUCGUCACAUCUUUUUGACUUUUGAUUAUUUAAGAGUUUUGGUGAUUUACACCACAUGAAAUGGAUCCGUUGUUAUCGUUUAUAUCUUUAUGAUCCUCGCUGACCCAUUAUCCACGCAUCGUUAUUUAUGUACUUCCAUAUGCAUGAAUUGUCAAGAUAUGGUGUUCAAUCCUCAUUAUAUAUUUAUUAACAUCUCACGUCUUUUUGAAUAUUGAAAAUAUCUUUGCUUUUUGGUAUAUAGAGGCCAUAUGUAUUAACAUAAACUCCAAAAUUCUUUUCUAGAAACAUAUGCUAUGCAAAUGAACAAAAUUCACUGGGGCACUCUUAAGUUUGGUCAUGGAUUCAUUGUUCUAUACAAAAUGACUUCAUACUUAAAAUUGUUUUGGUGAGAUCACGUUGGCUUUUUUUACUUAUUGUGUGACGCUAGGAAUAACUAACUAAAUAAUAUAACCAAAAAGUAACAACCAUAUAACUAAACUCUAAAGUCAGCCUAAGUGUUUGUAAAUGCGCCCACGUCCUUGACACUUAACAUGAAUGCUAUUAAUUUCUACAAGUCAACUAAACAAUUUUUAUAUAUCCAGCUCCUAAUGAACGAGAUCUCAUUAUGUGAAUAGAUGGGAGAUGAGAAAAUCUGUUUGUAAGAAAACAAAAUAACCGACUUUGAAUUAUAAAGUGUUUGGCUAUAAGGUUAGUGUGAUCAUGUUCAAUUACUCAGCGGUGUGAUAUAUGUGUAGAAACCAGUUUGUUAGGAAGUUUAUUUUGUUUGGUUAUUGUGUUGAAAGAUACGAUCUUCAUAUAAUGGUAUGAUCGUUGAUACAUGUGGUUUCAAGUUGCACAUUGAUUGGUGCAAUUAAGGGUACCCAAUUUAUUGAGAGGAGACGAAUUGUUAAUGCUCGCUUUGCUAUAUUUUGCAAGCUCGCUUCAAUUAAACCAAAAACAACAACAAAAUCUGACUAAGACUAGACAUAGUUAGUGGUUUGAAUUACUAUCGGAGCCAUGUAUGUAUGUGUGAGUUGUAAUAACACGAAAAAUAUGAAAAUCUGAAAAUAAAAAGCUGAGUAAGAAAAAGAAGUCCUUAACAUUCACUUCACAGUCCUACAUAUCCAAAGAUUAUAUAUGUAUCAUGUUAUAUAGAUUAAGACUGUUGCCUUAUAUAUACUAGAAUGUGCUACUUUUCAGAUGUGUUAUUAACUUAUUAUUAUUAGAAUUGUACAAGGAAGAAACGUAUUUGAAGCUUUUUAUUUAGUCAGAUUAUUUUCUGGUCAAAACAGAAUGAUAAAGAAAAUGGGACCAAAGAAAGAAAAGAGAUUUACGAGGAAGAAGGUAAAGCUAAUAGUAAUACUAAGAAAAUGGAUUGGUCCCACCCAAAUCCUCAACGCAGAUUCAUUUCUCUGCUUAUCUCACACGCUCUAAGUUCUUAUAACGCAUUUUUCUUUUAGUGGAUCCAAAACUAUGUUAAUUAACUUCAUUACUACAGUUUUAAUGGUUUCUUAACUUUACUUCCCUUGUAAUGCAUGUCAUUAAUAAACAGCCCAGGACUGUCACGGCAUAUCAUCUAAAGACUGAAGACUAGCACAACACCCUUUACAAUCCACACACAUAACAUAUAUUCAUAAACAACUACGAAACUUGAGUACCAAACAUUGGACCCACUUGAAAUGCUUCAUGGAGUUUAUAGUUUACUCAUCUCUCACACAUCCUCAAAUGAUCCUUGUCCCCAAGAUUUAAACAAGCGAAUUAUAUAGUUCUUUUGUUGAUAUUUUUGAAAAUAGUAAUGGGUAGUUUUGGAAUUGGGAAAAAUAUUAUUUUGUCUCCCUCUCAUAAAACGUUUAAUAAAACUAAAUGCCAGUAGGGUGGUUCAAUUUAUAUAUUUGCCUGUAUUUGGGUUCUCUGUACCAAUUCUGGUGUGUUGCCAUUUAAUUUUGUUUGCGUUUCUUUAAUUUCAAUUUAAUUCCUUUGACUGUACAUUUUUUACUUCAGAAGUUAUGAUUUUUUUUCUCAAUUUUUAUUAUAGACAUCUAAUUCAAGUUGGUUGCCAUUUAAUUUCUUGGUUCCUUAUAUUAACUCCUAUGAAGAAAAUAAAAUAAAUAAUGAUGGCCUGUUGAGUAUUUAAUUUGAUUUCUGUGUAUUAGCCAUUAAACGCCUCUCUUGUUCUUUUCCUCCUCUAUUUAAUAAGCAAUGAAUUGGGUUCCUGCAAAUAUCUACUUAUUUUCUUGUGUAUUUAUUAAUUACAUAUUUAAAAUAAAAAUUACUGGUUUAAAGUUGGAAAGUAACUUAAAUUCGAUACUCUUGAGGCAAAAUUAAAGCAAUUAACCGUCUGAUAUCAUCUACUCGUAUACUCCAAUUCACUCUUUAUGAUUCUCUCUCACUCACAAUUAAAUUAAGCCUUAAUGAAAAAUCUAUCUAUCUCUCCCUCUUUAAAUCUUCUCUGUGUUCUUUCUUGUAUAUAAAGACCUAAGCUGAACCAACCCAACCACCAGUUAGAAGAGAGACUCUUUGUGAUCGUAAGUACGAAAAGUCUUUGAGAUCACAGGAAACUCUCCUUCUCAAUCCGCAGGUUUCAAGAAGAUGAGUCGUAGAAGUCCAAAGGUUGACCUUAAGCUGAACCUCUCGCCUCCUACGUCAAGCCGGAGGAGGAUGGUUCGAUCUCCAAGCCGCUCCGCCACGACUUCACCGACCUCACCCCCAAGCUCAUGUGUCUCUUCGGAGAUGAACCAGGACGAGUCGUCAGUGAGAUACUCAUCAAGUCCAGAGACAACCUCGAUGGUUCUUGUCGGGUGUCCUCGCUGUCUCAUGUACGUUAUGCUCUCAGAAGACGAUCCUAAAUGCCCUAAAUGUCAAAGCACCGUUCUUCUUGAUUUCAACCAUGAAAACGCCUCAAACGCCAACGCACGCACUCCAGGCGCUGGUUCCUCUGGUCGCAAGACUCGAAGGAACUGAAAAGACCAGUAAAGCCCUCUAAAAAUCCUUGUUAUUUUUAUUUAUUUUUAUUUUCUUGCGAAUGUAGCUUUGUUUAUGAGAGUAGUGCUAAUCACGCUCCACCUUUGAAACCCUUAGAAGAAGGUAGGGAGAUGAAACUAGGAUUUCCCUACUCACAAAACUUUCAUAUCAAAAGGGUGGAGCGCGAAUAGCACUAACUUUUCUUUUCUUCCUUAAACAUUUUUCUACCAUUUGAGUUCUCUAAUGGAAGAAGAAUUUCUAUGUAUGUGAAACAUGUGUCAUUGUCUCCCUAUCUCUUCUCCUGAGUUCUUAUAAAUCAUCUUCUUAUA